GCCUGGGUGGCUCAGUCGGUUGAGCGUCCGACUUCCGCUCAGGUCGUGAUCUCAUGAUUUAUGAGUUCGAGCCCCAUGUUAGGCU
Felis catus (domestic cat) is the source of this 85-nucleotide non-coding RNA. The record is from Rfam. NCBI's taxonomy places the organism in Eukaryota, Metazoa, Chordata, Mammalia, Carnivora, Felidae.